CGCUGUCUCUUCUUCGCUGCUGGAGCUUCAGUUUCGUCCUCGUCGGUGUGCCUGCUCGUUGGUGCCGCCCUUGUAUGGUUCUUCUCUGCUGGUCGAACUUCAAUUUCUUCUCUCUUGUCGUGGUGUACUUCAUACGCGGGAUUGACGAAGAUUUAAUUUAGGUUUGCUUUAGUUUUGCGGGUUAGCUUCAAAGCUUGAUGACAUUGAAAAAUUAUUCAAGUAUUUUAGUGUAAAGUUUGGGUUUUCUUCAAGGAGAGACGUGGAAUUGAAAAGCUGGAGUGUUGGCGAUUGAGUGCUUACCAUCAGCCUGUUAGAGAAGAUGACAUGGAAGGUAUGUUGCGGGAUGCAUUUAAUAUGUGCAGUCAUGGUUUGUGAGAUCUAAGUAUUGUUCAAAAUACUCCAAAUUCGGAAGAAACAAAUAGUGAACAACAGACUGCUAUUGGAUCUUCAAAUGUUCCGAAUACACCUGACAAACUUGCAGAAAUUCAAACUAAAAGUGGUGGGACGCACAGAGGUCGAGGACGUACGCUACUUAAAGAUUUAUAUGAGUUAAAUCCUGUCGAGCGUGUCAAAGUAUCUAGAAACAAUCUUGGUCAGCCUGUUGGAUCAGAAGCUCGACUUUUAGCAGGAUAUUUGGGUAUUAUAGCAUAAAAUGCCAAUAUGUUGCCUAUCAACUACGAGUCAUGGCAUCAAAUGUCUGAUAGUAACAAAAAUGAAGCUCUCGAUAAUAUUAAGGAGAGAUUUGCUUUAGAGGUCUCGGAUAAUUAUGUCAAGAAGGUAUUGGGAAAAAAAUGGAGAGACCAUAAAAGCACUUUAAAGAAAGAAUAUUUUAAGAAAAAUAUAAGCCUCGAAGAGAAAUUGCGAAAUGUUCCACCGGGAAUGCUGAGAUACCAAUGAGAAGAUGCGGUUAGAUUUUGGAAUUCAAAGAAAGGAGAGGAUCGUGAACGAGUUGGAACAAGCAGCAGGCAAAAACAGAAAUUCACUCACACAGCUGGGUCGAAAGUUUUGCUUGUAUAGUUGAGGCCGAUGUAUUUUGAAUUUAUUAAUUGUGUCAAAUAUUUAUUACUUUCUAUUAAAUAAUAUUUUUACUACUAUAUUGUAGGAACUAUCGUCUGGUCAAAAAGUUGGACGCCUUCAGCUUUUUGACAUUACACAUAAGAAGAAAGAUGGAUCUCCUAUGACUUCUAAAGCUGCAAAAAUUAUGGAGAAACUAAAUGAUAAAAUGGCGGACUGUGAAGCGAUUGCUUCGAGUGAUAGUUCUAUUAAUGUUGACGACAUUGAUAACUGGAUUAUUAUUGAAGUUUUGGGUCCUGAAAGGCAUGGUUGGGUUCGAUUUCAAGGAUCUUUUAUUAACCCAACCUAAUAUUUUGGAUCCAGCUCGCAGCAAUACAUGCCUUCGAGGAGUUAGGCUCAAGCUGAAGUUCAGAGGUUAAGAGAUCAGAUGGCUCAGAUGCAAGUGAGCACAGUUGAGUUAAUUGCUCAACUUAAAGCGGAGGCAGCAUCGAGAGAAGCUGAGGUUCAAAGAAAAUAUGAAGAACUCUAGCUACAACUUAAA
Gossypium raimondii (Peruvian cotton) is the source of this 1555-nucleotide long non-coding RNA. RefSeq lists it as uncharacterized. NCBI's taxonomy places the organism in Eukaryota, Viridiplantae, Streptophyta, Magnoliopsida, Malvales, Malvaceae. The record is from RefSeq and is a predicted model, not a curated record. The transcript is spliced from 7 exons.